RNAcentral lists this ribosomal RNA (233 nucleotides) under uncultured Lactobacillus sp. RNAcentral describes it as "partial 16S ribosomal RNA". It matches the Rfam family "Bacterial small subunit ribosomal RNA", at positions 129 to 355 of the family's 1533-position model. Lineage: Bacteria; Bacillati; Bacillota; Bacilli; Lactobacillales; Lactobacillaceae. The record is from RNAcentral.
CCCAAGAGAUCGGGAUAACACCUGGAAACAGAUGCUAAUACCGGAUAACAACAGAUGAUGCCUAUCAACUGUUUAAAAGAUGGUUCUGCUAUCACUCUUGGAUGGACCUGCGGUGCAUUAGCUAGUUGGUAGGGUAACGGCCUACCAAGGCGAUGAUGCAUAGCCGAGUUGAGAGACUGAUCGGCCACAUUGGCACUGAGACACGGCCCAAACUCCUACGGGAGGCAGCAGCC